This 1013-nucleotide long non-coding RNA is filed under the name Capsicum annuum. Its description in RNAcentral is "long non-coding RNA (CANN_LNC004839)". Lineage: Eukaryota; Viridiplantae; Streptophyta; Magnoliopsida; Solanales; Solanaceae. The record is from RNAcentral.
UCCCAAUGAUACAAAGGAAAAUAAAUAAAAAAUAAAGAAGAAAUAACAAAGCAAGGCAAAGGAAAGGAACCACAUAGCAACCCACAUCAGUCAAAAUCCUACUGUAAUUAGUUAUCAAAUGGAGCUUAACCAAGAAAGCAAUCCAAAUACACGUAAUAAACUAUCACAAAUUCGAAUGAUUCAGAUCAAAAUUCUUGAUUUGAGAAAGGUUAUAAUCAUAAAACUCAGAAUCCAUAUUGAAAUAAUACCAAUAUGAAUUUCAAUCAACACACGAAUUAAACAAGGACAUGAUGCAAUACUACUCAUAUAUAACCAUAUAUAAAGUAUAAACGAACAUGAGUAAACACAUACUCAAACUUAACACUAAAAUUAUGCCAAAUAGGAUUUCAGAAUCUGUUCGGAAAGAAAUUGUGAGUCUAGAUAGAGGGAUGAUCAAUUUAGUACAUCAAUGAAUGUCUUAUGGGCUUCCAUCAAUCGAAAUCUCUCUUAAAAUUUGUCAAAAUAUAUUAAAAAUAGAGUUUUGGGUUUUCCAAGGGUAGAGGACAUGGAGAGAUGGAGAUGAGGGACGAUUUGGAUUUGUUGGUAGUUGAAAAGAUGGCAGUGAUAGAAUUUUUUCCGACUGACGGCCGAAGAUGGUGGCUAGCCAAUCGUAGGAGCAUAGAGGGUGAAGGCAACAUUGCAUGGUUCACCGACCAUGGUAGUCGGUGUUGUGGUGGUGGUUGGUUUUGGUGGAGUUGUUGGAGAGAGAGAAUUGGUGGUGCGGUGGAUGAUUUGGUGGAGUUUGUUGUUACGCUGGUGGAUGGACGGAGUUAGAGGGUGGAAGUAGUUUGUUGGUGUGAGGAAAAAAAUAAAGGUAGCACCGGUCGUUUAGUGGUCUGCUCCACAACAAGGAAUUGAGAGGAGGGAGAGAGAGACUGAGGGGUGGGGCGACUGUUUUGUUGAAUGGAGUAGGGAUUUUUGGUAUAUGUAAAAAGAAAGAAAUAAAGGUCUUUAAUUUUGACCAUGGAUCAUGU